UUGCGAUUUAAGCAGUCAUGUGAUUUUAAUACUUCACAAGCAGUUGCAGCUUCAAAAGCAGUUGCUUUUUAAAUAGUAAAUAGAAAAAAAUCUGGUUAUUAUACUGGGCUCUGAUCUAUAUUCUUAUAUUCUACAGCUAAUUUCUAGCAAAGGAAUUAGCUUUAGGGAAAGCACACCCUGUUGUUGUAUACGGCCUCUCUAGAAGUGUGAUCUUUGAAAAGUACUUCUUAAGCGUAUAUUAGUAUAUUAAUAUAUUUCCCUUAACUUGAUUAUAAAUUGGAGAAGACAUGAAUUUGCAUCGCAGAGAAAGAAGCCAUGAUAUCAUCAUCAAGACGAUAUUGUAACGCUUACAUCUUGGCGCAUUAUGCCACUGUUUGACGUGCCUGAUUUUCUGUAAAAUAUUGUUCAAAUGUUCCUUCAUCAGAAAUAAAUUGGGGAAAAUGAACGCAUAACUGCUGAGAAAUUACUGAAAUAUUUUACACAACCCCUGAACUUGAGUCCAAUACUCUCGGCGUAGUAUGCAGGAGGUGAGUCAACAUUCGUUUCAGUUCUGUCGCAGAGGCUUGCCUUCGGUUGGUUACGGGACAAAGCAUUGGCUAGAUCCUGAGCUUCAUUGUUGGUUUGAUCAACAAUGAUACGUCGUCCAACACCUGCCGUGGCCGGUUUAUUCCAAAAAGUGGUCUGGGGUACAAUGGGACAGUUCGUUUGGGGUACAAUGGGACUGUUUUUUUGGGGCACAUUGGGACAGAACCCACGUCCCACGACCUUCCAAUCCUUCUAGUCGGGACCUUCAAAUAUGAAAAAGAAAUUGACCGUUUGCCGCCAAAUAUGAAAAAGAAAUUCGUUCCAAAUAUUCGUUGAAAGAGAUAUCAGGCUCUUUUUCUUCUUCAUCAGAAAAAAUUCCGAAUUCUACAUUAUUCAUCUGAAGCAAUAGAACAAGAAUUACUGCUACGAAAAAGUUCAAAAUUUUCUCAAACAAUUGCGAGAGAACCAAAGCUCCGCACUAUAUUACGUUCGUGGAGAAUUUGGUUUCACUGAGCCAAAAACAUAUUAUGUUGCCUUAUUAAUAACGAAGAAAAGAGACGAAAAUGACGCAUACGAAAUAUCUUACUUGGUUCUUAGAGAAAAAUCAGCUCAUUUUAUAUUUCUAGGUGCCGCUGAUCUCGUAUCAGUCCGUAUAGGAAACAUUAUAGUCAUUCUUGGCAACCCUACUGAAUGAAAUUAUAAUAUGAAAUUUGUCUAUGAUUUUUAUGAUAUCUUAGUUAGGUAAACUGUCCCAAUGUACCACCAUGGUCUGUCCCACAGUACCCCGGGCCGAGGUACUGGGACAUUUUAUUUCAUUUUUUUAUAUCUAAUUUCUGUAAACUGUUCUGAUCAUUGCUUAUGGAUUUAAAAAUGUAACCAAGGAUGUGGUGUUUAGCUUUAUUUUGCAUCUCGCAUUUUAAAACGGAAAUUAGUUGUUAUAUUUUUCAUUUAUUUUUUAUUAAUUUUACCCAACUUUCCCCCAAUUCUUCGUUGUAUGUGUGUUAGAUAUUGACUGGUUCUAUCCUAUGUAUUCAUUACUUUUUUACAUGGUAAUGAAAAGGAACUGAAUCCUCGUUUGUUUCUGCGAUUAUGUAUACAUUCUAGCAGAUGUAAGGUGUGCGGAUUCACUACGCGUGAGAAUUAUUUGUAUUGAAAGAACUAUUUUUAAUUCUAGUUUUCAUUUACUUCCAGAACCAAGAUCCUGAACUGUGUUCUACAGAGGGUCUAGCUUCCGGACAGUCAUUGUCAUUGAGGUUGCUCAUCUAACACUGAACUGAAGAGCUACUGCACUGCCGCACCAGCAGUGCAACUUGGUGGUUGACCGCCACACGACAGCUGCUGACGCUCAGCGACAAACUACAAGACUACAGAACCAACACAACGAAGAAAUAAGAUUGAAAAUUACAAGCAUGAUUGAGAUCAUUAGGUUUUGCAUGCUCUUCGUUAUAUUUCGGACACCAUUAAAUACGAAUUUGUCCAAUAAAAGACCGUCGAACACACGUACGUUGAUGUAAAAUUUCUUCAAGAUGAUGCGCGUUAACGAUUUUGGUAAACCUUAUGAGUUUUUAAGCCAUGAACUAAUGUAAACGAAAUCAUGAGAACCGUGAGGAAUCUACUUCAUUAACUUUUUAGCGCCUGUCAAUUCUCUGUUCAUUAAUAGCUCACAUUAAAACAGCUUAUAGUUGAGUUUAUUCGGAGAUAAAUUGCAAAAAAUGAGCGACCGACUUUGAGGAUAAACAGACAGGCAGUGCUCAUUCGACCGCCCGUGAUCUCCUCGCCCCUCGGAUGUUGCCUGUGAGGAUCGCGAGAAAUACCGAAUACCAAGAGACAUGAAUGGACGAGCUAAAAGUAUGGAUUAAUUGCAUUUGCGUAUUAAGAUUGAAUUCCUCAUUGAUAGCAAGGCAAUAAAUUUGAACUCGAGAUAUAAGGCUCAGGAUUUUUUUUUUUAUCUUCAAAUUGGUUUGGCAGAAGGCUAAGAAAUAAAUGCCCAACUCCAUUUCCCGCACCCGGUACAGCUUGUGAUGGCGAGGUAAGGCCAAUGCCUCCAUAUGUAGUCGCGUCCAGACCGCGUCCACUUGAAGUGCCACGCCGGACCGUCAGGUUCUGUACCAGCGCGUGUGGCAGGUGGAGUACAAGGCAGCCGUCAGGAGUGCGCGAGGCCAGGUCAGAGAUAGUCUGAAGCUGCUAAUUGGUCAGAGAUAGUCUGAACUAUCCCAGGUCAGAGGUAGUCUGAACUAUCCCAGGUCAGAGAUAGUCUGAACUAUCUCAGGUCAGAGAUAGUCUGAAGCUGCUAAAUGAGGACGAGCAAACCAUUCUUUCUUCUUCUGAAGAUGAAUAAUUAAAGGAAACGGGAACGAAAUGGCCUCUUGACCAUUAAAUUGAACUCAAAAUAGAAAAAAUCUUGAGAAGACACUGAUACCACAAUACAAAAUUGUGCCGUUGAUCAAAUUAAUUCUAACCGAUGUAUGCGCAGACAGAACGUAGCUGAAGUUACAGAAAAUUAUAAUUUACAGCCACUUCAGAAUAUUAAAAUUAAGAUUAAUUUUUUUUAAUUAAAUCAGUAAAUGCUCACGAGCCAAACUUUCCUUUAUAACUUCAUGCGUCGGAAGCUUCCCUUACGUUUGUCUUCCAGUUAUUUCAGCAACAAAUUCAAGCAAUCCUGUUCCGGGUCGACACUCUUACUUGAUAGUUCUCCGGUCAUGCCAAAAAUACACACAAGGUAUUUUUUAAUCGUAAAUCUAAUUUAAAAGUAAAAAAACGAGGGGCAGUAAACAUAUGUAUUUUCCAGCUCCGGUAAAAUUCCAGCACGCUGCAACACGUAACAAUGUUUGCAGUGGCAGAACUGGUCUGCAACUGCAGUGCUGUGAUUGCUGCGGAGAUGAUGCCGGAGUACAAUGGAGUAAAGUCAAAGCCAAAGAGGGUGAGGAGAAAAAUAUUGUGCAAGAAAAGGAAGACAUCUGAGAUGGCUUGGUGUUUUUAGUAUGCUCGAGUCUGGGAUAAUAAAUAGCUGAUUUGGUUGAGCUAGGUAAUGUUUUUAUCAGAAGUAUACAACAACACCAAGAAUGACAACACUGAAACAAGUGUUAGACAUUCGGCGAAAUAGAACCAUACUGACAACACAUCAUUUAGUUAGAAUGUAAGAGCAUAUUACAAGACUUGUUGGGAAUGCUGUGCAUAGAAAAUAUACUGUACAUGGUCAGUGCAAUAGUAAUUAAUUUUUCGAAUAUUUAUUGAGAUGAUGAGAAGAUUGAAUACCUGCAAUUUAUCGAAUGUACGAGAAGAGAAAACGAUGGCAUGGGGAUAGAGCAACAUGACAAUUUUCUAACGUCCGUUGACUCUUUAAGACGGCGAGUUGUUUGAUGAAACACCAAAACCAUCGUAAGUUUUUCAUGAACGGAAAUGUGUGUGUUCCUCAUGCAACCAAAUAUUACGCGUAUUUUUCAGGAAUACCGAACUGCGAAACGAAUAGCUUUUAUUUCAGUCUACCAAUGUGUCUUUGUUAAAAAACCUCACAGGUGAGAGCUGAGUUCCGAGCGAGUCUUCAACAUAUGGGCUGAGGGAAACAUCUAUCUCAAAGUGACCAUUAUAAAAACGGUAAUAGAUAUGACUCCGCUAUAGGCAAAUAUUAUCAUUGUAAAUAAUAAUAUAAAAAUGUAGUGCAAAUAUCGAUUAUAUUUGAGGUUUUGAAAUAUCUGCAUUUCAAUUUGCGUUCUGAAGCAAGUGUAGUAGCCCUUGGAGUCCAAGUUAUUUACCUUUAUUAAGUAAUUUUUUCAAUAUCUUCCGAUUUAUCGAAACAAAUUUUGGCAACUUGGGCCGACCACGAAUGUUGAGGCGAAAGAAGAAAACCACGAAAUUGAUUUAAUUCUUUAUCAAUAUUCUUGACCGUUGAAGAUAUUUGUGCUAUAUUUAGGUUGAAAUUUGUCAUGGAUAGCUAUUAAUGAUUGGUUUUUAAUUCUCUUGACGCCUAUUUCAUGAUUGGACUUACUGUAUAAAUUUUCUGUAACCUAAACGAGUAGUAAAUUUUGUUGUGAAUGCUG
Hyalella azteca is the source of this 4562-nucleotide long non-coding RNA. RefSeq lists it as uncharacterized. The record is from RefSeq and is a predicted model, not a curated record. The transcript has 2 exons. NCBI's taxonomy places the organism in Eukaryota, Metazoa, Arthropoda, Malacostraca, Amphipoda, Hyalellidae.